UUGGUGUGAAUUGCAGAAUCCCGUGAAUCAUCGAGUUUUUGAACGCAAGUUGCGCCCGAAGCCAUUAGGCCGAGGGCACGCCUGCCUGGGCGUCACGC
RNAcentral lists this ribosomal RNA (98 nucleotides) under Maguireothamnus speciosus. RNAcentral's name for it is "partial 5.8S ribosomal RNA". It matches the Rfam family "5.8S ribosomal RNA", at positions 62 to 154 of the family's 154-position model. From Rfam's summary of the family: 5.8S ribosomal RNA (5.8S rRNA) is a component of the large subunit of the eukaryotic ribosome. The record is from RNAcentral. Lineage: Eukaryota; Viridiplantae; Streptophyta; Magnoliopsida; Gentianales; Rubiaceae.